RNAcentral lists this long non-coding RNA (1138 nucleotides) under Coturnix japonica (Japanese quail). RNAcentral describes it as "lncRNA (ENSCJPG00005005587.1)". The record is from RNAcentral. Lineage: Eukaryota; Metazoa; Chordata; Aves; Galliformes; Phasianidae.
CUCACGAGGAACGGCUAGGUGAUAACCACGUCUGCAUGCAAAAGCUAAAUCCAACCUCCCCCCUCCCCGCCUCAGCCCCUCCUUGAAGUUAAAAACUUUUGGCUCAAGAAUGCGGUAGGGUUGUCCUCCUGCUACUCCCACUCCUCCUGCACCCCUUCCUCCGCCGCAAGGCCCUCCCCCUGCUCAAUUUGGAUUAGGCUGUACCUUUUCUUCACUCCUUCAAGGGUGAGGGUUUUAUUCCCUUCUUUUCUGCCCAGAUCUCCACUAAACAAAGGAGCUCUGGGCACAUCACCAGUUCCAGGACGUAAAGAAAGCAAACAGCAGGAAGACACCUUGGCAUUUAAGGGCUAUUGUGAAAAUCCAUCUUCCACCAAGGCAGCAGGGACCCUCCAGCUGGAAGAAGAUUUCAGAGCAGCCAGGAAUCGUGGAAUCUGUGCCAUCAUGGGGGUAUUGUGGCUGGCCAGGUUCAUACUGGGAUGUACAGCAAUUUUGUAUUUGAAACAAGCCCGGGGUCAAUAUGAAGGGGACUUGCAGACAGACAGAUUUGCAGGCUAUGAGGAAAGACAGCCAGCACACAGAGUGAGAAGAAGAGGCCAAGACACUUUACGAGGGUAUGUUUAAUGUUCAUUUCUAUUUUAUAAAGCAGAAUUUGGUUUAUUAUUAUAGCACAUAGUAACAUGCCUACAGAAUUGCUUUCUGCCUUUUCCUUGAGCUUGGGAAGGAAUCUGCUUUGCAGACAUAAGGUAGGAGGACAGCUCUUGCCAAGGGGAACAGCAAAGCAGGCAAAGAACCCAGACUGCUAUGUGAACAGAGUGCUGUGCACUGAGCUACUCUGCUUUGAUCAGUGGAUCACAGCAAUUUGGGGCUCAUGCAAGAGUACUGUGAGGAGUCAUCAACAUCUUGCCUGCAGGUGGCAGGAAUUCUGGGCAUCUACUUGAAGGAUGUCUCUGGCUGGUCUUUCCAUCAUCAGUGAGGAUGUUGUUGACUGGGGUUGCAACCCAGGAGUCACCCUCUGUCAUGCUGCCAGUUGAUGUUGUGGCUUAUGCUGUUGGCUGCUUUUACACUGAUAGUUGUUCUCUCUGCUAUUGCUAAUGGGUGAGUGUACACGCUAAGUCAUCUGUUGUGAAGUAAAGCUGGG